UUACGGCCAUAUCACGUUGAAACACCGGUUUCCGUACGAUCACCGAUGUUAAGCAACGUCCAGCCUGAUCAGUAUCUAGAUGGGGUGACCGCUUGGAAAUACCAAGUGUUGUAA
Molecule: non-coding RNA, 114 nt
Organism: Acanthosepion pharaonis
Lineage: Eukaryota; Metazoa; Mollusca; Cephalopoda; Sepiida; Sepiidae
Source: the annotation of a GenBank genome assembly